GCAUUUAGCCCAGUGGGUAGGGCAUGAGACGCUUUAUCUCAAGGUUGUGGGUUUGAGCCCCACAUUAGGCA
Podarcis lilfordi (Lilford's wall lizard) is the source of this 71-nucleotide non-coding RNA. NCBI's taxonomy places the organism in Eukaryota, Metazoa, Chordata, Lepidosauria, Squamata, Lacertidae. The record is from the annotation of a GenBank genome assembly.